Molecule: long non-coding RNA, 1057 nt
Organism: Marmota flaviventris (yellow-bellied marmot)
Lineage: Eukaryota; Metazoa; Chordata; Mammalia; Rodentia; Sciuridae
Source: RefSeq, a predicted model, not a curated record
CCGGUCAGAGGCCACCAACAGCCCCCCAGGUUGCCGAGGGCCUGCUAACUGUGUUCCUGGGAGGUGGGCGAGUGACCUGAGGGGUUAACUUUGGGACUGUAGUGGUUUUCCCGGCCGAAAGGCCUCUGGCUGCUACAGGCUUGGUGAGGGGAGGGUCCAGCCUGCCAGACCCUGGCCGUCUGGCCGUCUGCCUCUGAAAAGUUGGGUUGGCCAGCAUCUAGGAGUUUAGCAGUGUGCUUUUGGGUGUUGUAGUUUGUGUCCGGCACCUUUCCCUUUUCACACAGCAUUUGGCUCUGUUUAUUUAGUCCUUGGUGCUCAGGACCCUCUUUAGGGUUAAGUUGGGAUCAUUUUCUUUGGGUCCAGGGGGACUUAUGCAAGAACUGGAAUCUUAGAAGGGAUGGAACCCAGGACCUUGUGCCUGCAAAGUGACAGUAAGUAACAUGGCAGAUUGUGUUUUCCAAAGAUGGAAAGUACUUUCUUGUAGCUCAGUAUGUUAUUCUGCAUUGUGACAUUGUUACUCUUUAAUCAAAAGUGUAGUCUUGAGCUCACUGGUAGAGUGUUUGCUUAGCAUGCUUGAGGCCUGGGACCUAUAUCAAUCCUCAGUGAGUACACACACACACACACACACACACACACACACACACGGAGCAUUUCUUGCUUGAAUCUGGGUGGGUCUUUAGUGUGUUUUGACCAUGGAAAUGUAGAAGUGAUGAUGUACCAGUUAUAGGUAUUGCUCUUACCUGGCCCGACAACAUCUGCUUCUUGCCAUUUGGAAGCCAACCAGCAUUUAAGAAAUUCAUUUACCCUGAGGUCACUAUUUUGUGAGUAACCCAAACUUAUAUGACGAAUCCCUGAAGGAUGACACAUUAAGGGGAGAGGUGAAGGAGGAAAACCUAGGAAGCAGACAUACAAGAAAGAAGUCUUGUGGGAAAUGGAUCCUCCAGCCCCAGCUGCCCUGUUUGUUGCUGUAUAAAUCACAUGAGCCACUCAGUGGUGCUCUUCCCAAUUUUUGAUCCAUAAAAUCAUGAGCAAAAUAAAAUGGUUUGUUGUAAACUUA